AGAGAGAGAGAGCAGGAAGAACCAGAUGAGAGAGUGGACAGAUGGAGAAGUCAAGUAAUUCUGUCUGUGUAACUGCUGUCGUCUACAAGGAAACAAGAACUAAACAUUCCAGAAGCAACUUGAAGGUGACAACAGAUCUGUAAAUGAAGAGAGGAUGCAGAAUGGGUUCACCUCUCCAGUUCGUUGUGUUCGGUGUUGCUGGUGCAGACGCCAACAUGCAGAAGGAGUUCAGUGAGUGCUACA
This is a long non-coding RNA of Scatophagus argus, 243 nucleotides long. RefSeq lists it as uncharacterized. The record is from RefSeq and is a predicted model, not a curated record. The transcript has 3 exons. Lineage: Eukaryota; Metazoa; Chordata; Actinopteri; Scatophagidae.